This 279-nucleotide ribosomal RNA is filed under the name uncultured bacterium. RNAcentral's name for it is "partial 16S ribosomal RNA". It matches the Rfam family "Bacterial small subunit ribosomal RNA", at positions 506 to 784 of the family's 1533-position model. The record is from RNAcentral.
UGCCAGCCGCCGCGGUAAUACGGAGGGGGCUAGCGUUGUUCGGAAUUACUGGGCGUAAAGCGCACGUAGGCGGACUAUUAAGUCAGGGGUGAAAUCCCGGGGCUCAACCCCGGAACUGCCUUUGAUACUGUUUAUCUAGAGUCCGAGAGAGGUUAGUGGAAUUCCCAGUGUAGAGGUGAAAUUCGUAGAUAUUAGGAGGAACACCAGUGGCGAAGGCGACUCUCUGGACAGUUACUGACGCUGAGGAACGAAAGCGUGGGGAGCAAACCGGAUUAGAUA